Long non-coding RNA from Cervus elaphus (red deer), 1257 nucleotides. RefSeq lists it as uncharacterized. The record is from RefSeq and is a predicted model, not a curated record. Lineage: Eukaryota; Metazoa; Chordata; Mammalia; Artiodactyla; Cervidae. The transcript is spliced from 2 exons.
UCCGGCGGUGGGUUGAGGCUGUUGCGAACGAGAAGGUGGAAAAGUGUUGCGGGCAAAGGGAAAGCUGGCGUCCGCGCUGGGACAAUAGGAGAUGGGGCCGAGGGGGCGGUGUUGCGCUGUGGAUGCCGCGGUGGUUAAGACUUCGCUGUGGGGCGAUGGGAGGGCGUUGUGCUCAAAGUGAAACUCUGACAGCGCUGAGACUAUUGGCUGUGGGCGACGGGAGGGCGUUUCUCACACAAGGCCGUUUCUCACUGGACUUGGCUUUGAGACGUUGGGAGAGCGCUGCGAACAAAGUGGAAGAUGGAAGAUGGCGGCAGCGGAAAAGCUACUGGCGGUGGGACGGUGGACAGCUUCGAGGGCAGAGUUAAACCCGGCGGGGGGAUGAGACCAUGGGCGAUCGGACGGUGGACGGUGUGGUCCGCACAGGGGACCCUGACAGCGGCGACGAGACCAUUCACUGUGGCAAGAUGGAAAGGCGUUGUGCCCAGUGAGACACGAGGGCAGCGAUGUGACCUUCGGUUAGAGUUGAUGGGACGGCAUUGCGGACACAGUGAAAGCGGGUCUAGGCGAUGAGACAAUGGGCUUGGGGCGGUGGAACCGCGGUGUGGUCAUAGUUAAAGCCGGCGAUGGGCGUGAGACUGUGAGAGAUGGAAGAUGCGAGGGCCUUGAGGACAAAGGGGACCAGGGGGAGCCUUUUUGGACAAGGGGAGAAACAGCCAAGGCGAAGGGACCCUGGGAGUGCGUAGCAGACAGAGAACUCAGCGGCGGUCAGGGGACAAAUAACCGUGGGACGGUUUGGGGCACUUCCUGGGGGUAAGAGGGGACCAGGGAACUGGCGCCGCUGGAAUGCUCUAGAAUUUUCAGGUGUCUUUUAAGUAUUCGGUCAUGAAGUGGGGCUUACCACAUCUGAGAGUUUUUAAUGACCCUACAGCAUGGGCUGUCUGUUACAUUUAAAGAAGUGGAGGAGACAAGAGCAGGUAAACUGUAUGGAUACAUGCAGCGUAUUCCUAUAACGUCGACAUUCCGCAUGUCUUCCUUCUGUUUUAAAUUCCUCAAAGGCAAGGGCCAGAAAACUAGUAUUCUGCAGGCUUGUUUUGCAGUAAAUGUCUCCAGGGUGCUCUGCAAUUUUUCAUAUGUGUUGUCACAUAAAUCAAGUUGACAUGGAAACUGUCUCGUUGACUUUAGUUUUAUAAAUAAUGUAUUUCCCAUAUAAAAGUUUAAAGAAAUAGAUAAUGCAUAAAUCAAUUUUAAAAUAGC